CCUACGGGAGGCAGCAGUGAGGAAUAUUGGUCAAUGGCCGAGAGGCUGAACCAGCCAAGUCGCGUGAGGGAAGACGGUCCUAUGGAUUGUAAACCUCUUUUGUCGGGGAGCAAAAGACGCCACGCGUGGCGUUCCGAGAGUACCCGAAGAAAAAGCAUCGGCUAACUCCGUGCCAGCAGCCGCGGUAAUACGGAGGAUGCGAGCGUUAGCCGGAUUUAUUGGGUUUAAAGGGUGCGCAGGCGGAAGAUCAAGGCAGCGGUAAAAUUGAGAGGCUCAACCUCUUCGAGCCGUUGAAACUGGUUUUCUUGAGUGAGUGAGAAGUAUGCGGAAUGCGUGGUGUAGCGGUGAAAUGCAUAGAUAUCACGCAGAACUCCGAUUGCGAAGGCAGCAUACCGGCGCUCAACUGACGCUCAUGCACGAAAGUGUGGGUAUCGAACAGGAUUAGAUACCCCUGUAGUC
This 459-nucleotide ribosomal RNA is filed under the name uncultured bacterium. RNAcentral's name for it is "partial 16S ribosomal RNA". It matches the Rfam family "Bacterial small subunit ribosomal RNA", at positions 338 to 795 of the family's 1533-position model. The record is from RNAcentral.